This 605-nucleotide ribosomal RNA is filed under the name Sicyopterus japonicus (grazing goby). RNAcentral's name for it is "partial 16S ribosomal RNA". It matches the Rfam family "Bacterial large subunit ribosomal RNA", at positions 1807 to 2619 of the family's 2925-position model. Lineage: Eukaryota; Metazoa; Chordata; Actinopteri; Gobiiformes; Gobiidae. The record is from RNAcentral.
UCAAAAACAUCGCCUCUUGCACUUAGGCAUAUAAGAGGUCCCGCCUGCCCUGUGACUUUAAUAGUUUAACGGCCGCGGUAUUUUGACCGUGCGAAGGUAGCGUAAUCACUUGUCUUUUAAAUGAAGACCUGUAUGAAUGGCAUAACGAGGGCUAAGCUGUCUCCUUUUUCCAGUCAAUGAAAUUAAUCUUCCCGUGCAGAAGCGGGAAUCCCCCCAUAAGACGAGAAGACCCUAUGGAGCUUUAGACAAAAGGCAGCUCAUGUUAAAAUAACUAGAUAAACAGAACAAAUUAAGUGACCCCUGCCCUCAUGUUUUUGGUUGGGGCGACCGCGGGGGAACAAAAAUCCCCCAUGUGGAAUAGGAAGUCUUUCCUCAAGAACAGAGCCACAGCUCUAAUAAGCAGAAUUUCUGACCAACAAGACCCGGCAAAGCCGAUCAACGGACCGAGUUACCCUAGGGAUAACAGCGCAAUCCCCUUUUAGAGCCCAUAUCGACAAGGGGGUUUACGACCUCGAUGUUGGAUCAGGACAUCCUAAUGGUGCAGCCGCUAUUAAGGGUUCGUUUGUUCAACGAUUAAAGUCCUACGUGAUCUGAGUUCAGACCGG